RNAcentral lists this long non-coding RNA (555 nucleotides) under Pan troglodytes (chimpanzee). Its description in RNAcentral is "long non-coding RNA NONPTRT000549". The record is from RNAcentral. Lineage: Eukaryota; Metazoa; Chordata; Mammalia; Primates; Hominidae.
GAUGCUGCUGCGUUUCAGUGGAGGGGAGAUUUUUGCUAGUGUGCCACUUUUGGUUUCUUUUGAAUGUGGAUGUGCCUUCCUCUAAAGAAUCCUAGACAGCACGGAGAGACAAGAGGUGAAUGAAAUAGGCCCUGAGCAGCUGAGGUGGUGGAGCAAAGUUCCUCUAGAUUACUCACCAGCGAACAAUUCAGGCCCUUGCACAGAGCCCACUCAGCUCCACACAACUCUCAUCAGUCAGCUUGUCUGACAUCUACACCCAUUACAAAGGAGGAGCAAGGAGGAGCCGCGUGGGUGAGGGCAGGCACACUGAUGCCCGGGAGAAGUGGUACCCAAUAUGCUGAUAACGAAGGAGGGACAGACAUGUCAGAAAAUGCCUCCAAAAGGAAUAAUAAUGCCAAUAAAAGCUCACAACUUGUGCAGGGUUACCAGACCCCUCUGUAAUAGCAACUGAAGGCAUCACUCUGUUUUAACAUAGUAGCAAUAAUUGGUAUUUCAAAUGAAUGCUCCAUCAAGAAAUGUUUAAAUACUCGGUAUACUAUGUUUUAAGAAAGUGAA